AUGACAAGGUGUGGGUGGUAAUGACAAGGUGUGGGUGGUAAUGACAAGGUGUGGUGGAAAUGACAAGGUGUGGGUGGAAAUGACAAGGUGUGGGUGGAAAUGACAAGGUGUGGGUGGUAAUGACAAGGUGUGGUGGAAAUGACAAGGUGUGGGUGGAAAUGACAAGGUGUGGGUGGAAAUGACAAGGUGUGGGUGGAAAUGACAAGGUGUGGGUGGUAAUGACAAGGUGUGGGUGGAAAUGACAAGGUGUGGGUGGUAAUGACAAGGUGUGGGUGGUAAUGACAAGGUGUGGGUGGAAAUGACAAGGUGUGGGUGGUAAUGACAAGGUGUGGGUGGAAAUGACAAAGCGUGGGUGGUAAUGACAAGGUGUGGGUGGUAAUGACAAGGUGUGGGUGGAAAUGACAAGGUGUGGGUGGAAAUGACAAGGUGUGGGUGGAAAUGACAAGGGUGUGGGUGGA
Molecule: long non-coding RNA, 458 nt
Organism: Oncorhynchus keta (chum salmon)
Lineage: Eukaryota; Metazoa; Chordata; Actinopteri; Salmoniformes; Salmonidae
Exons: 3
Source: RefSeq, a predicted model, not a curated record